Non-coding RNA from Durio zibethinus, 1889 nucleotides. The record is from RefSeq and is a predicted model, not a curated record. NCBI's taxonomy places the organism in Eukaryota, Viridiplantae, Streptophyta, Magnoliopsida, Malvales, Malvaceae.
AGCCGUUUCUAAAAUGUCCAAAGAGACCCAAACCGUGCAGGCUAGCUCAUCCGCAGUGGAGAGCCACGCCGGUUCCUGCGACGCGGAGAUGCAGCUUCUCAACGACGCCGUGCGGUCAUUGCCUUACCCCGUCGUCAGGGACCUUUUGUCUAUCGGUGUAUGUUCGAGAUGCGUCCUUCGUUUAUUUGGUACCGAGGAGCAUAUUUAUUGUCGUUCCUCGUUUUCACAAUCGAUGCUUCGUUCAAUUCUUGAAGAAAUAGCUUGUUUUAAAUCCGAAGUCGAGUUUCAAUUCUGCACUGUUUGCUUAGGUAUAUUACAAUUCUGUUAUUGCGAUGACAAAGAAAUGGUGGUAAAAAAGGAGAGUGCGAAUGAUAUGGCUUUAAGCAUUGCGGAGUUAGUGAAGCAAGAAGGACAUCAAAUUGAUGGAUUUUCUCUUGAAGUUUCUUUACUACCACUUAUAUUGGAAAAUGAAUCCUCGCUUUUGUCACAUAUGAAAAAGAAGUAUGAAUCAGAGCCGUGGUUUCAAGAAAGGUUGCUCUCUAAAUGCGUUUCUGUUAAGGAUGUUCUGAAAUUUGCUAUAACAAAACCCCUUGAAACAUUGUUGGAUGCUAAAUCUAGUGCAAGCUCCUUUCGGAUCCGUUUGACUUACACACACAAAAGGGCAUCAAAAAGCUCUGUUGAGAGGAAUUGGGAAUGCAAAAGGCGAAAAACAGGCACUAGGUUGCACAAUGUAAAUGAUGAAUCAGUGGUUGCUGACAAAAAUUGUUCUCCUAUUGAAACAAAUGCUGUCACUGGAAGAUCUUCUAAUAGUUUGCAAGAUCAAGAACCUUCUGAACACUUUGGAUUCCCCAUAGAGAAGGUCAGUGAACCUUGCCACUUGGUAUACCUUUGCUACAGGACACAUAUUUACCUAUGUGGUCGAUAUCUGAAGUACUCAAGAAAUGUGAGCCAAACACGCUGGAUAAUUGAUGAGGAAAGGAUGGGAGAAGCAUCUGUUGAGGAGAUAAUAGGUAGCAACAUUCUUCCUAUGUGUCAAGGUGAUAAUUACAAGUUUCAUGCUGCUGGCAGAGAAGAUAUUGAUGUUCGGAUGUUAGGUUCAGGUAGGCCUUUUCUGCUUGAGAUACAAAAUGCACGCCAAGUCCCAUCAGAUGUGAUUGUUGAGGAAAUUGAAUCAAAGAUAAAUGGCUUGGAGAAUAAACUAGUUGGAAUUAAAAAUCUUAAAGUAGUAGGUAGUCAGGGUUGGACACUGAUACGUGAAGGAGAAGCUGAGAAGCAGAAGCAGUAUUGUGCCUUAGUGUGGAUUUCUCGCCCGCUUGAGGAUGAAGAUUUGAGAUCCAUAUCAUUGCUCAAUGACAUGAAAAUUCUGCAAAAAACCCCAAUACGGGUGCUUCAUCGUCGAAGUCCGUUGGAACGUGAAAAAAUUAUACAUUGGAUGAAGAUUGAGAGGAUUGCUGGAAGCUCUCAAUACUUUCUUUUACAUCUCUGCACCCAGAAUCAUGCCUUGGUACUGUUCUAUAUGGAAUAUAGGCUGGCACAUUUGUAGAAUAUUGCUGUUGGUUACUCCUGAAAUCUUAAACUGACUGAACUAUUCCAUGUGCAUUAUUCUGCAAUGGAGUCUUAUUAGACAAAGAUUCAAGCUAUGAUAUACUGAGUUAUAGUAAUGGUGUCUCUGAAGAAAGGCUGGUCAGAUUGGUUAGAGAGGAGACUAGCCUAGUAUGGGGAUGUCCUCUGCUAGUAUGGUGGGGAAUGUGUAAUACACUAAUAUCUUUGGAAUGCAGGCGGGAACUUAUAUCAAGGAAUUUGUUCACGGUGAUCUUGGGCGUACCCAACCUAGUAUUGGAUCAAUUCUAGGAUGCAGAGCAGAGAUAUUGCAGUUGGAUGUUACAGAC